Molecule: ribosomal RNA, 30 nt
Filed under: Dactylis glomerata (orchard grass)
Lineage: Eukaryota; Viridiplantae; Streptophyta; Magnoliopsida; Poales; Poaceae
Description: partial 28S ribosomal RNA
Source: RNAcentral
GCGACCCCAGGUCAGACGGGACCACCCGCU